UACGGAGGGUGCAAGCAUUGAUCGGAAUUACUGGGCGUAAAGGGCGCGUAGGCGGCAAAAUAAGUCAGAUGUGAAAUUCCACAGCUCAACUGUGGAGCUGCAUUUGAAACUGUUUAGCUAGAGCAUAAUUAGGGAAAACGGAAUUCCACAUGUAGCGGUGAAAUGCGUAGAUAUGUGGAGGAACACCGGUGGUGAAGACGGUUUUCUGGGUUAUAGCUGACGCUGAGGCGCGAAAGCUAGGGGAGCAAACAGG
Molecule: ribosomal RNA, 253 nt
Filed under: uncultured bacterium
Lineage: Bacteria
Description: partial 16S ribosomal RNA
Rfam family: Bacterial small subunit ribosomal RNA
Source: RNAcentral